AUUGAACGCUGGCGGCAGGCUUAACACAUGCAAGUCGAGCGGAAACGGCAUAAUUGACGCCUUCGGGUUGAUUUUAUGGACGUCGAGCGGCGGACGGGUGAGUAAUGCCUGGGAAUCUGCCUGGUAGUGGGGGAUAACUUGCCGAAAGGUAAGCUAAUACCGCGUACGCCCUACGGGGGAAAGCAGGGGAUCUUCGGACCUUGCGCUAUCAGAUGAGCCCAGGCCGGAUUAGCUAGUUGGUGGGGUAAUGGCCUACCAAGGCGACGAUCCGUAGCUGGUCUGAGAGGAUGAUCAGCCACACCGGGACUGAGACACGGCCCGGACUCCUACGGGAGGCAGCAGUGGGGAAUAUUGGACAAUGGGGGGAACCUGAUCCAGCCAUGCCGCGUGUGUGAAGAAGGUCUUCGGAUUGUAAAGCACUUUAAGUUGUGAGGAAGGGCUCCGGGUUAAUACCCUGUGAGUUUUGACGUUAGCACAGAAUAAGCACCGGCUACUUCGUGCCAGCAGCCGCGGUAAUACGAAAGGUGCGAGCGUUAAUCGGAAUUACUGGGCGUAAAGCGCGCGUAAGUGG
Molecule: ribosomal RNA, 571 nt
Filed under: uncultured bacterium
Lineage: Bacteria
Description: bacterial SSU rRNA
Rfam family: Bacterial small subunit ribosomal RNA
Source: RNAcentral